GUGUUUGAUCCCACAUCAGUUAUUCGCUUGGUAGAUCUUGGGUACUUAUAUAGGAUCAAGGAACCCCAACAAUACCUUUCGGCUAGCCAUUUUGGAUGAGGUCCUGGGUUAUUACAAAUGGUAUCGGAGCGGAUCCGGCCCAUAACCUAUGUGGACUAGAGGACACUGCAGCACGGAUCCAUUGGGGCUCACCAUGGGCCGAUCGUGGUGUUUGUGAUUUGAUUUGAAUAGAUAUGAACCCUUAGCCUGACGAGGACGUCAGGGCUUGAACGGGGGGAGUAUGUGAGGACCCGU
RNAcentral lists this long non-coding RNA (294 nucleotides) under Phoenix dactylifera (date palm). RNAcentral's name for it is "long non-coding RNA (PDAC_LNC010176)". Lineage: Eukaryota; Viridiplantae; Streptophyta; Magnoliopsida; Arecales; Arecaceae. The record is from RNAcentral.